UUACAUUACACCAUGGUUGAGAUGGUAUGGUGCUCGGUGUAGUUAAAAGUUGUUUGAUUGAAUAGUCUAAUAUGGAAUCAAGUUAGACUUUAGAUAUAAAGAGAUAAAAAAGUUAAAUAAAUAGUUUGUUUUAAUAAGUAAACGGACGAAAACGAUGCAACGGUGUGUUGGUAGGCUUGUCACCUGCAGCACUUCGCACGCGGCAAGGAUCUUUUGACGGCUCGUGUUGACGUCUCGUGGAAAGCGAGCAUUUUCGCUCUAAACUCUCUCUCCCACGAGUUGUGACGCAAACCAGGGAAAAGCACCACACAAGUGAGAAAGAGAGCGUAUAUAACAGAUAUGAACUCUUGCCGCCUGUCCGUACAGAACAGCUGAACUGUCAAAAAGUCUGCGCCUAUAUUGGUGCUUUCGAUACGAGCAAAGCCUGUGAGUGUGCGUGCGUGAGAUAGGCUGCAAAAGAAGCUUUCAGCAGCUGCUGGGAACUGCGCAGACACUCUCGCUGGUGCUGAAAGUUUAUUCCUCUCCUAUUCCGCACAGUGGCGCCACCUGGUGGCGGGUACUGGAACCAACGCGUCUAUCCAUCGCAUCCUUGCAAACGCGAAACCAUCCUGCACAUGUGCCGCUCUUACAUCUGCGAACGAUUUUUUGUUCCUUUGAGCAAAAGGUUACGCUCUCUCUCUCUCUCUCCCGUUCGCUCCCAUUCCGAGUGCCUUGCGACCGACCAACACCAGUGAACGCGCUUCCAAUCGCUUUCGCAACGUCCGCAACGUGGGACCGCGCUUGUGUGUGUGUAUGUGUGAGCGUGUAAACGUCAGCGGAAAACUUUCCAAAGCGCACCCCGUGCGUAGAGCUGCAGUCCAAGCGCCAGUCUCUCAGCGACACAGUGUCGGGGCAGUUGUUACUAGCGGAACAGAGGGAAGAAAAUCCUCCCAGACCCAGAGUCCAAACCAGAAACCUACACCUACAACCCAGCCCAGUCAACCGAGCUCUAGUGGCAGCAGUGUGUAGUCCGGGAUACAAACAUAUUCCCUUCGUCUGGUGUUGUGCGGGAUAAAGUAAAGCUACCAACCCUCUCAAGUCAAGUCAAAAAUCAGUUCCCAGCAGGACGGUGUGCUCCGGUGAUUCUGUACCCUAUUUCAGAAGCUCUCUUGAAGCUUGCAAGUGUUGCGCGAGGCUCUGUGCUGUGUGUUUUUGUGUGCUUUCGGUAGUGAUAAAUAAUUGCAGCCUGUCUGGUUUCUGAAGUGAACCGUUAGCAACGGCCGUGUGGGUUUGUUGUGCUUGUGUGAGAGUGUGAAAUAGUGGUUGCUUUCCAAGAAAUAACCACACAAUUGCUGGAAGAAGCCGCAAAGCAGCAUUAUUCAAGCUGGUUUGCAGUGUAGUGCGACAAAAAAGAAAAGAAAUCGUGUGAAAUCAUUACAGAGUGAGCUGGUGUUGCUGGUAACCACGUGCUAAAGGGUGUAACCUGUAAAGGGUGUAAGCAAGUCCAACAGGAGUAGUCACCAUGGCCUGGGGAUACUGGAGCGCAACGGCGGUCGAUCGUGGCCGAUCACCGCGGCGCAAUACACAGUUGCCGCAGACCCAGUAUCAGGCCCAAGGCUACCAGCAGCCAGUACAGCAGCAGCAGCAGCAGCAGCAGCAGCAACACCAUCACCAACAGCAGCAGUACAGUCUGGCGUCGAGCCAAUCGCAGCAACCGUCGAUGCACUGCAGUGCCCUUUCGCUCAACACCUGUCCGCAGGCGGUCGAGCUACCGUCGAUCCAGCAGCAGCAGCUCAUCUGCAGCAACGGCUCCCAGCCGUCGCUGCACCACCAGCAGCAACAGCAACAGCAGCAAAUCUGCUCCAGCCCGUGCCACAGUCCCUGUCACAGUCCGCAGUUUAUCGAGCAGCUACCGCCGGAGCUGCCCUGCACACCCUGUACCUUCUCGCGUAGACAGUCACUUGAUAGUCCACAGGUAGAUCGAUGCCAAUCGCUCGCACUGCUGGGGUGUGCCGAGGCGAAUCAGCUGUCGGAUAUCAUCUGCCGGGCGACGCAGCCUUCGAUACAGUCGGCGGGCAACACGCUGACCCGCGGGACGUCGUUGCGCGACACCGGCGACUACGCGGUACCUCAUCCACACCCUCACACGCACCACUACAUGUCAACGUCGGCGACGCCGCCCUCGCUGAGCCGCGUCGGCUCCUGUCCGGGCUCGACCGGUGGUUCGGGGUCGGGCCAUGGGUCCGGGUCCGGUUCCAGCCCGGGCGGUGGCCCCGGGAGUGGCGGCGGCGGUAGUGGCAGCGUGGGAGGCGGCGGAGGUGUUGGUAGUGGGGUUAGCAUUUGCGGGGGCAGCAUACUGGGCGGCAGCCAGGGCCGGCUAGAGUACAUCGAGUGCUCGCACUACGAUCGGAUGCCGCUGCCGAUCCCGGUCCAGAUACCGAUCGUGCCGCCGCCGCAGCUACACUCGGAGGACGAAAUCGAACCGGCGUACGCUACAGUAUUUCCAAAUGUGCCGUCUGCUCCGGGAUUGUCCUGCGUCGGUGAAGACCGUAGCAUCUACCGAAGAGGAGCCAGAAGAUGGCGCAAGCUGUACCGGAUAAAUGGACACAUCUUCCAAGCGAAGCGAUUCAAUCGAAAAGCCUUCUGCGCCUUUUGCCACGACCGUAUCUGGGGUCUGGGCCGGCAGGGAUUCAAGUGCAUCCAGUGUAAGCUGCUGGUGCACAAAAAGUGCCACAAGCUUGGCAAUAAACCGUGUAGCAACGAGCAUGUCGAACCAGUCUUCAAGGAGCGCGAUCACCAUGACCCGAAUGAUGAAUCGAGUACCGGUGACGUCAUUCAGGCUCCGUUGGACUAUCCGUCCGAGCUGCACUCGGGCGACGGCUGCGACCAGGUACCGGUCGAGGUGAAUGACAACGUGGAGGAAACGCUGGAACCCGUCACCCAGCGGCAGUACUCGCUGAACGAUUUCGAACUGAUCCGAGUGAUCGGCCGUGGCAGCUACGCAAAGGUAUUGAUGGUGGAGCUGAAGAAGACGCGCCGUAUUUACGCGAUGAAGGUAAUCAAGAAGGCGCUCGUGACGGACGACGAGGACAUUGACUGGGUGCAGACGGAGAAACACGUCUUCGAGACCGCUUCGAACCAUCCGUUCCUGGUUGGUUUACAUUCGUGCUUCCAGACGCCAUCGCGGCUGUUCUUCGUGAUUGAGUUUGUGCGUGGUGGAGAUCUGAUGUUUCACAUGCAGCGGCAGCGCCGCUUGCCCGAGGAGCACGCCCGCUUCUACGCGGCCGAGAUCAGUCUCGCACUCAACUUCCUGCACGAAAAGGGCAUCAUCUACCGCGAUUUGAAGCUGGACAACGUGCUGCUCGACCACGAGGGCCACAUCAAGCUGACCGAUUACGGCAUGUGCAAGGAGGGCAUCAGACCGGGCGACACGACGUCCACGUUCUGCGGAACGCCCAACUACAUCGCGCCGGAAAUAUUGCGCGGAGAGGACUACGGCUUUUCCGUCGAUUGGUGGGCGCUGGGUGUGUUGCUGUACGAGAUGCUGGCCGGGCGCAGUCCGUUCGACAUUGCUGGUGCUUCCGAGAACCCGGAUCAGAACACCGAAGACUAUCUGUUCCAGGUGAUUCUGGAGAAGACGAUCCGUAUACCGCGCUCGCUGAGCGUGAAGGCAGCAUCCGUGCUGAAAGGUUUCCUGAACAAAAAUCCGGCCGACCGUUUGGGCUGCAAUCGCGACUCCGCCUUCCUGGACAUUAUGAAUCAUUCGUUCUUCAAGAGCAUUGACUGGGAGAUGCUGGCUCAAAAGGAAGUGACACCACCGUACAUUCCCUCAUUCGAUGGGUGCGAUCAGGACAUAACCUGUCACUUCGAUCCGCAGUUUACGCGUGAACCGGCCGACCUGACACCCGACGAUCCUCGCGUCAUCGACAAGAUCGAUCAAUCCGAGUUCGAAGGAUUCGAGUAUGUGAACCCGUUGCUGAUGUCGUUGGAAGACUGCGUUUGACAUCACGCAUCCUGCGAGCUGCAUCCGUACAACAUGCAGUUUUGAGUGCAGAGAAAAUCAGAAUCAUUUCGGUACACUAGCUAGCGCAGAACGGAAUCUGCUGAAGCGGAAUCUCACCAACCAACCAGCAACAAUCGCAAAGCUGAACAAAUUUUCAAAGCUUCUAUACAAUUUUGCGUUAAAGUGUGCUACACUAGUUACAUUAGAAGAAGGUUCUAAAUCUUAGAAGAAAAACAAUUUGAAUUGUAAAACCAACCAUCUCGAAGCUUUUCGUUUGACUGACUGAUAAAGAUAGCUACUACUACCACUACUACUACUACUACUACUGCUACUACGACUAUACGGUGACGAUUCUAGCGAUUACGAUUCCGUUGUGGAUGAGCUAAGCAUCCUUCAAUUACCUCCGCCACCAUCGAAGAGUUUGCUGCAGCACAUGUUUUGCCUUCCAUUGAACUAGCCACAAGCGUUGUAGCCCUCUCCGUGCAACCAAUCUGCAAACUCUUAGCUGAGUGAGAACGACGGCACAGUGAUGACAGCGACUACCGGAGCAGAAGCAACCCUCUGUGUGACACUGUACUAAACCGACAGAAUCACUGCGCAACCUUAACCACGAGAACAGGAAUUACUUCAGCGAUGUGUUUGAUUUUUAGGAGUUAGCUAAAAUCGCGUUCUUAUAUUUUUUGAGUACUUUGCGCGGGAGAUGAAAAAUAGAUCCGGAUUAUUUGGUUUUGCGGUCAAAAUGAGAGAAAGAGUUGAUUUUUUUGUGGUCUGAGAAGUGUCUAUGUGUGCGUGUUUGCAUGAUGCGCAAGGGAAGCUAGAAAACAUUCCAUUCAUAAAUUAGUAGUUGAAGAAAUACAGCUAAUGAAUAAGAUAAUGAAACAUAGUAGCAGCAAAACUGAUUGCUGAUGAAACACAAACGCAAGCGCGCUGGUUCGAUGACGCUUAGAGGAAGUGCGUAUCAUUUCCUUCCUUUUCUCUCUCUCUCUCUCUCUCUCUCUCUCUCUCUCUCUCUUUCUCUCUCUUUAUCUCUCUGUACUAUCCAUUUCUGCAACCAUACCGAUGUCGUUAACCUAAAUCACAGUCCCAUUUUGUAACGUUUAUUAUCUAUGCUUUGUAUUUUGUAUUUGUAUUACAUUGAAGUGUUUUCGCUGCAAAGAAAGAUAGGAAGAAGUAUGAGUAACAAAAAAAAGUGAAACUACAACGGAAACGGAGUGCGAGCAGUGAUGAAACGAACACGAAUGCAUGAUCCGUGACUAAAAGGAAAAAGAAAAACCUUGUUCUAGAAUAACACAAGCCCAGAAUGGAAGCGGAAAAGCAGCAGAAACAAAACACUAAAACCUCUAGCAGACUAUGGACACUAAACAUAUUUAACAAGAACUUAUCAUACAAACGUAAAAGAGAGUUUCAAAUUCAAAACAUGAACCCCCCCAUACUAAAUCAAACAGUCGCCCUUGUGCAUCAUUGUAUUGCAAAAAACAAAGAACAAACAAAAGGAAGAAGUAACGAAUAAAAUCACAAUUGCUAUGUAGAAUUAUAGGAGGUUUUGCGAUAAACGACGAUGGAAUAGAGAAAAACAAACAAACAAACAAACAAUUUAAUGAUUCCGCUACUCCUUGCGCCAAGUUUGCGAUUAUUAGUAGCGCGUGUUGGCAACAUUUCCACGUGCAGGCGUUUUGUUUCUCUUUCUUCCUCACACUCUCUUUCUCCGAUGCAAAUGCGAUUCGUGUUCGGUUUUGUUUUUCGCGGAGAAAGUGCAUGACUACUGCGAACGAGCAUUAACCACUUAUUAUAAACGAGAAUAGUUAAAAUAACAAAUCAGAAGCAUGUUACAAAUGAUAAAAACAAAAAACAAAAAGCAAAACAAAAGUUAUACACAAUUGCACAGUAUCGUUAACAAAAGUAGUAGAAUGGUAACCAAACACACAGACAAAAUACAAACAAACAAACAAACAAACACACAUACAUAAACACACACCACGGCUCCAGCAAUUGAUCGUUAAUGUGCGGUUAAUGUUGAUUAAAGAGAAGAGAGAAAAACAGAAAACAAAGGUGUGAUAAAGGUGAACAGAUGAUGCUUAUGAGGGCAUAAAGAAAAUGGGUUGAAAAAUCAAAAUUGAUUCAAAGCACAGCUAACAAGCGCGCUGCUCAGCGAGAAUGGUGUUAUCUGUGAGGUGUAGAAGCUGAAGUGAAGCCACAAGCUAGAAACGGGGGUGUUUAGGUAACAAAUUUACUAUUAAGAAUUACUAUAACAAAAAGGGCGCUAAGAAGAGAAAGAAGGAAUGAGAAUGAGAGAAAGCAGGACACACACGCAGUGUAGGAUGGAGAAACAUAACAUCGGCUAACAGCGGCGUGCGUGCAGGAGCAGCUAACUACUAAUUAUCCUUCGUAAAGGCAAAAUGCAUUAAGGAAAGGAAAGAAGAAAAUUUUAAAAAUUUUAGACAAAAUUAAAAGAAAAUGCGUUGAAAGCAUGUAAUAGUGCAGGCUGCAGAGUAAUGUUCAGAUUCACACGAACUGCUGCUCACGAGAGAGAAUGUAAAAGAGGGGAGGGAAACGAAACAGCUCGAUCCUAUUCCGGUAUGGUACUGGUGUGUUGGCGGGUGAAGCAGCCAGCAGCGUUCGUCGUAUUGUAGUAGUUGUGCCCGUUUUUUGUACAUGAGUUCCCUGUAUGAUGGCAGUAUAUGAUAGCAAAAAUUAUUGAAAUGAAUGCAACACAGAUAUAAAAAGCAAGCAAACAAACAAAAAUCCAAAAUUCGUAGUAGAAAAAAAAACGCACUGCAAACAAAACAGAAGAGAAAAAGGAAAAGCAAAAAAAAAACACAUUUAAAAGAAAAAAAUGCAAAACUCACUGAUAUAAGGAUAUAAAGUAUGAGGAGAUAAGCAGAAAGCAAAAGUAUUUCUCUUGAAGGGCUCUUUGGCACUUUGCAGCAGUGUUGGUUCCAACUGUAAAUCCUGAUUGUUUUUAAUGAGUGUUGUAGUUAUACUUCCCCGUUUGUUAAUUGUUUUGCAUUGCAAAAAAAAAAACAGCGAACUCGAAUUAGAUAAAAGAGCAGCAAAUCGGUGUAUCGGUUACGUCCUUCCAAUGCGAAUUGUUAUUAAAAAUCCUAUUGACUGUAUUCCCUAUUUCGUGUUCGUAACAAAGAGCUGACAGAGCCUGAAUAUUUAUCGUGACUUGUUUUAAAAACGGCUCUCCUACCCCCUCCAAAGGAGAGCAACGUUUUGCUGCAACGCAACCAAACUGAGACAAAGGUUUGCCGUAUUUUGAUAUAAUUGUUGUUGGUGAUAAUACGUACGAUUUUUGAAUCGUCAUUGUUUUUUUUUCUCAAAAUCUGUGUAAAAGAAUGUGUUUUUUUUUCUCUGCCUAAUAGAAACGAAAGCUAAUGGAUAGCGCCAGAUAAACCGAUCACGAGCAGCGAAGGGUGUAAAAGAAGUGAGGCGAAAACGACCCACUCAAAAGAGGGUAGAGAAAGCGAGCAAAGAGAGACCUAGAGACGACGUGAAAUGUGUAGUAAGACGGGUUUUUGAUUUGCAUUCGUUACUUAUUUGGUUCUUUUUUUUUUAACUUUCCGUUCCAUAAUAGGUACUUACGCUUGUACUUUUCUUACAUAUUUAACAAAUGAUUUCCUGUCGGGGUUAGCUCCGUUCUUUCAACGAGUACGACGCAUUACCAUUCUCAUGCAGCAGCAUUUUUUUGUCUUGUUCUUCAAAGUUUAGUUUUUAAUAAGUUACUUUUAUUACUAGCAACGAUAUGCAUACAUAUUAUAUUACAUAUAAAAAGCUACACAACCGAUUCAGUAUCCGACAUACAUGAUGUAUUUAAUAGUAUUUUUGCUUUUUGCGCACUUAGGGUAAAUAGUUUACUGUGUGUUUCUUUUUUUAUAGCAGCAAUUUUUGUAUUUUUUUGUAUUUCUUUUUAUCCAACCAUCUUCUUCUUCCCCGUUCUUAUCUCAACUUCCCCUGAAUGAGAUUGUGUGUGUUUGUUUUUUUCUUUUUUUUUUCUUUAAAACAUACCCUGUUUAGCCCAAAAAAUACGAUUAACUUAUAACUGAAACACACACACACACUAAUAACACAGGAGAAGAGAAACAGGCAGUAUCGAGGGAAUAAAACUUAAACUUAAAAGAAAAAAAAACAAAACAAAACAAAAGAACAGCAACAAACACAAGGAUCGCUGAAAUUGAAACUAUUUCAAAUAAAAAAUUAUAAAAUCAA
This is an RNA transcript of Anopheles gambiae (African malaria mosquito), 8191 nucleotides long. It is a transcript of the gene named atypical protein kinase C, with no coding region annotated. NCBI's taxonomy places the organism in Eukaryota, Metazoa, Arthropoda, Insecta, Diptera, Culicidae. The transcript has 15 exons. The record is from RefSeq and is a predicted model, not a curated record.